GACGAACGCUGGCGGCGUGCUUAACACAUGCAAGUCGAACGGAAAGGCCCUGCUUUUGUGGGGUGCUCGAGUGGCGAACGGGUGAGUAACACGUGAGUAACCUGCCCUUGACUUUGGGAUAACUUCAGGAAACUGGGGCUAAUACCGGAUAGGAGCUCCUGCUGCAUGGUGGGGGUUGGAAAGUUUCGGCGGUUGGGGAUGGACUCGCGGCUUAUCAGCUUGUUGGUGGGGUAGUGGCUUACCAAGGCUUUGACGGGUAGCCGGCCUGAGAGGGUGACCGGCCACAGUGGGACUGAGAUACGGCCCAGACUCCUACGGGAGGCAGCAGUGGGGAAUAUUGCACAAUGGGCGGAAGCCUGAUGCAGCAACGCCGCGUGCGGGAUGACGGCCUUCGGGCUGUAAACCGCUUUCGCCUGUGACGAAGCGUGAGUGACGGUAAUGUGUAAAGAAGCACCGGCUAACUACGUG
This 468-nucleotide ribosomal RNA is filed under the name uncultured bacterium. RNAcentral describes it as "partial 16S ribosomal RNA". It matches the Rfam family "Bacterial small subunit ribosomal RNA", at positions 28 to 507 of the family's 1533-position model. The record is from RNAcentral.